AUACGAAGGGUGCAAGCGUUACUCGGAAUUACUGGGCGUAAAGCGUGCGUAGGUGGUUGUUUAAGUCUGUCGUGAAAGCCCUGGGCUCAACCUGGGAAUGGCGAUGGAAACUGGGCGACUAGAGUGUGGCAGCGGGUAGUGGAAUUCCUGGUGUAGCAGUGAAAUGCGUAGAGAUCAGGAGGAACAUCCGUGGCGAAGGCGACUGCCUGGGCCAACACUGACACUGAGGCACGAAAGCGUGGGGAGCAAACAGGAUUAGAUACCCUGGUAGUCCACGCCCUAAACGAUGCGAACUGGAUGUUGGGUGCAAGUUGGCACGCAGUAUCGAAGCUAACGCGUUAAGUUCGCCGCCUGGGGAGUACGGUCGCAAGACUGAAACUCAAAUGAAUUGGCGGGG
Molecule: ribosomal RNA, 397 nt
Filed under: uncultured bacterium
Lineage: Bacteria
Description: partial 16S ribosomal RNA
Rfam family: Bacterial small subunit ribosomal RNA
Source: RNAcentral